AGUACGGUCAAGUACGCAUUCACCGCAGGAUUUCAUGCCUAGCCGGAUAUCGGGUAAAGGAUAAAGGGAACAGCACGUCAGAUGCUCCAUGACAUAAACAGAGGGUUAGGCAUGCUGACAGUGAAGUGUGUGCUAAUCUUCCAGGUGGGCCGCCCGUUCCCCCUCCACCCAGCUAGCCAGAACCUUAUCUGUGAUAGCGAUGAUGCCUCAAGGUCCAACGUGAGACACACGUAGCGGGAUUCCUCAAAUGGAGCAGAUAAGGCGUCUGUGUGAAUGCGUGAGUGGUUUGGUCGUCGCAGGUCAAGGCCGCAUUUGAACCGAGCUUCCCCCACCCCCCAAGCUGAGGAGUGACCUCCACGUGACACGUAGAAGGCACCAGGCUGACGUCUCUGCCGUGUAUAACCCAAACCCAGUUUACCGCAUCAUAUCACUGUCUACUGCACGCCAUAUCACUCUUUAUUACAUGAUACAUCCAUAGAUAGAAGAUAGAAUGGCUUUAUUGUCAUUGUACAAAUAGCAAGUACCAUUAAAUUCGAUCCUUGGGUAUCCUGUCCAGCUCUCCCAUGAGACAGACAUAACUAUGUAUAAAUGCAUGUGUGGGAGAGUGAAAUGGGCUGUGUGAGGAUAUAUAUAUGCCUGUGGGAGUGAAUCUUAUGGUGGCCCAAGGCAGA
This is a long non-coding RNA of Brienomyrus brachyistius, 671 nucleotides long. RefSeq lists it as uncharacterized. Lineage: Eukaryota; Metazoa; Chordata; Actinopteri; Osteoglossiformes; Mormyridae. The record is from RefSeq and is a predicted model, not a curated record. The transcript has 3 exons.